UGCAAUUUAACUUGUUGUGACUACAAGUGCUAAGAAAAGAAAGAUUUCUAAGAAGAAGUCCCCUGAAAAUUCCGUUGAUACAGAAAGCUCUGCCUUGGUAAAAAGAACCAGGUCUGCCAGAAAAUCAAGAAAAGUGCAAAUAGUGGAAGAAGAGGGUGAAGAGGAAGAGGAGACUGAUGAAGAAAAGAACAAGAUGGUGAAGUUUGAAAAAAGAACAAUUCUGAAGGGGAGGCUCCUCAAAGAUUUGGAAGAGGAAGGAAGGACAUGGUCCCUCAGUUGGAAGGAAUGUUAGCCCUAAAAAGUUUAAGAUAGAGAAUGAAAGAGUAAAUAGUGUGGUGAAAUGAGUAAAAGGUGAAGUUUGAUGAUAAUGAGCUAGGGGAGAUUCUAAGGAUACAUGUUGAAGGCUACAUAAGCAACAUGUCAUAUGUUUCACAUGAAUAUGUAACUUGAGUAACCUCUACUUCCUAAGCAGCCUUCAUUGAACAACCAACCAUACUAUAUAUAAAUACUAGAUAUCCCGUGCAUGUGUUGUGCACGGGCCUAACACGACCAUAAGCCUAACACCACUGCACAAAAUAGGUCCGAGAGUAAGAAAGAUAAUUUCAUACUUGUGUAGUAAGAUUACCCCCGAAAAAUAAAAUGACGAAGCAAUACCAUCCGUUGACUAAAUAUUACAACAUAAUACACCACAUUCAUUUGUUUAGCUUCAUUAGUCCAAUUGCAUUUUUAGCUUGCUUCUAUGAGAAUGAGAAAGAUAAAAACAAUCAGAUAAAUCGUGUUCAUGUUGGUAGUCCCACUAAUACAAAAUAUUGGAUAAAAUUUGGACAGUUGCAGUUGACAACAAAUACUUCAUCUUAUAUCCACCUAAAGAAAAGAAAAUCAAGCAUUAGUAUUAUUGGUAAGACUUACAUAUGGUAGUAUAACAAUCAUAAAAUUCAGCUAGUUUGCAUAUUCAGCAAAACAAUCAUAAAUUCAUUAAUUUUGGAGGAAAAAGAGGGGCAUAAAAUAUCAGCAUGGACUAAGAGGAGAAAGAAAAGAUUCAGACACGGUAGACCUAUUGAAAUGCCCCCAUCAAAGGCAUGUUCUAAAUCUGAAUUGGGUCUCUUCUUUUUAGCAAUCUAUAGCUAGGCAUUAAAUAAUGAUUUACAACCUUGGAGGACCUAUUUAGGGAUAUGAACCUUUAACCUAUUUCAUUGGAGGAGACUAUCUUCAUUGAUUUUGGUAUUGAUGUAAUAACUGAAAAGUGAUACACACCAAAUUUAAAAUAGAAAAUCUGCAAUAGAAGCACUACCAGUAAAUCACAAUUCACAACCAUACUCGCAUAUUCUGUGACUUAGGAGAGAUCAUGUAGUGGUAUUUCUAUUUCAAUCACCUGACCCUACUCUAUUCAUGAGAACAACUGCUAUCUAUGUUGAAUGAAUGCGUCCAGGUUACUACAAAAAUUUCUAGACAAAUUCUAACUUCUGCAAAUACUACUUCAAUUGCCUUAUUUCUAUUAUAUACUUACAAGCAACGACCAUCUCAUCAUGACCAUCUAUCGAAGAGAUGCACCAAAAAGAUCUGAAAAACAUAAAGCAGAUAAACGAACCUUCAAAAUAUAAGUUUUGAGUAGUAUUUAAACACAUGUUAAAGGAUACAAUGAAAAGAAGCAUAUUGCCAACGACAAGUCUGUUUUUUCAUUUCCUUGCAAAACUUACUAAUGACAAACUAAGUGAAUGUGUGGGCUAAAGAUGUUGCAACCUGAUCAUUCUAGAUAUGUCCAUGUUAUUGUCCUUGGUGGGGCUUCAGUGAGAGUUCAUCAUUUAUAAUUUGCUGCUUUUGAGGCUAGUGAAAAAUAUUCAACAUGUUGUGCGAGAGAUUUGGAAACAACAGUUAUCACUUAUCACAUGCCAUCAGUUCUUGCUCGAUCCUUAUCUAUAUGAAAUAAAGCGUGCGUCUAUACCGAUAAGUAGAUAUUGAUUGAUCUCAACUAAUCAAGGGGAAAAUGUUUGAUAUUUUGGUCAAUUCAAAAUAUCAUAAUAAAAAUACCCCCGUACCCUGACAACUUAAAAAAAGUGAAAAGAAGAAAGGAAUGUUGAGGCUAGGAAUGAAGUGCAAAGAGAAAACUGGAGAAAUAAAACUCACAUGCAGACAUCCACUAAUCAAACAAAUCAAAUGCUCAAAAAACAAAAUCAGAGAACAUAGCUUACCAAUUAAUACAAUCGCAGCACACCAGAUUGAUCGGCAAAGGACUGUCAAUCCAACUAAAGAAGAUACUAUCAUGUGACAGAAGCAUUAUUCAAAGUUCAAACUUGCCGCAAUUAUUACUCCCACCGUUCCAGUUUAUGUAAACCUAGCUAUUUCCUUUUUGGUCCGUUCCAAAAAGAAUGACCCCUUUCUAAAUUUGGAAACAAUUUAGCUUAAACUUCCAAUUCUACCCUUAAUGAGAAGCUUUUAUAACCACACAAAUACUCUGGUCCCCAUUUUGACUUGUUUAGGACCACAAAUUCUAAAAAAGUCAUCAUUUUUUCUUAAACUCCGUGAUCAGUCAAACAUGUUCACAUAAAUUGGAACAGAGGGAGUAUUAUUGAAAAAAAUGGAAGGGAAGGAAAAGAUAAAGCUGUAAUUUUGAUUACUUUUGCUCCACGCGUAUAGUAGUCACCGGAACAUCUAUGUACAAGAUAAAAAGUCAUAAGCAAGCUGCGGUAAGGACUUUAUUUUCCUGCAAAACAAUUGUUGAUGUAUAGAAAAACAUGUUACUAAUUUAUAUGAGGGAAUCAAUUAGGAUAUUUGCGAACGAACAUUUAAACUUGUUGCUAAAUUUUUAUGUUUGAGUAGCUUAGUAACUUUUAUUCUCUGUGUAAAAGCAUAGGAGUUAGCAGGACUUCAGAAUAUGCAAGCAUUUGAACUAUCUCGGAGGAGUUGAUUGAAAUAUUUCAAGAAUUUCUCAAGGAUUAAUCUUCAUUUCCUGCACAUACUCUAGUCCCUCUCGAGAUAGUAAUUCUGGGGUUUUCACAUUAUAAAAUGACAUAAAGAUGAUCUCCGAAUGAUCUUCUUAGCUGCUACUUGAUUUUCAAAUGUAUCAACCAAAUCAGACAACCCAAUGAAUGAAAGCUCUUAAUCUUCAUUAUACUCCAGCAUAGAGCGAUAAUGUCUCAAAUUCUAGAGUAAUCUUAAUAUCUCGUUCUGAACACUUAUGUCAUUUGAGUAUCAAAUAAAUCUCAGUUGUAACCUAAAAGCAACAACCAUAAAUUCCAGCUUUGUUUCUUUGAUACUAUGUUGUAGAUUAGUUUUAUGGAGUUACAACCAACAAAUCAGAAGUAGAAAGAUUCAAAAAAUGACGAAGAAACAAUAAUAAUUCAACGAUGAUAGAUAAACAAAAUUGAUUGUCCUUGUAAUAUUGCAUAGAUCAGAGAGCUAUUGUUGAAAUGUGAGACCCGUUUGGCCAUAGAUCACUUUUGACACGGAACCAACCCCCAGAGGAAACAGAGGGACAACAACACAAAACUGCAGCACAUCCCUAUUUUUAUUUCUAAAGCAAGAAAGAACAACGACACUGCCACUCUUCAAUUAAUUUCUAAAUCAAUUCCCAAAUAGAAUUUCAGUGCACCUUUAUCAUCUCUCAACGCAAUUCUAAUGUGCAAAGUCGCCCAAACCUGUAGAAGUAAGAGGUUCUUACUCCCAUGUAGUCUAAAUACUUUUUUUCUUACUAUUUUCUUCAAUCCUUUAUCUUCUUUUUUAUAACAAGAAUAAGUACAACUAUAGAUUUGUUGCCUAACAUAAACUUUUCCUAAGCAUUCAUCCCACAAAUCAAAGUAGGCAAAUAACUUUAAGCUUUUCCUAAUCAUGUAUAUUCCAAUCAAUCAACCUCCAUUCCAUACAUCAUCCUAUUUCUUUGGAUGCUGUCAUAGCCAAAAAGAAGUGACAAAAUAAGACGGUAAACUUUCCUCUUCCAUUGUUAUCUUCGAGAAAUAGAGUAAGACAGUGGACACAUAGAAGGUUUGAAGAUGAAAUUUCAUAAAGAUACCCCACGCCCUAGAUCACUUUCAGCAUUCUAAAGAUGCCAAGUGAAUGUAGAAAUUUGAAAGUUCUAAAAGAUGGAUAUAUAUUCUUUGUUCCGAGUUGGCGAUUUUGGUGUUAUAGAUGUAGUUUAUUGUAAGGUCUGUAAUGUUAUUUGAAAAGUGUUCAUGACGGCUAGUAAGAUGAUAAAGCCCAUAAUACUGUAUGUAAUACCCGAAAGAAUUGUACUCUAGCUAGUUUGUUGAACAUACCAUCACAAUCUCGGUGUUGUUUGUAAUUAGAAAAUUUACCUUUUUAAUCAAAAGCAAUAUAAGGAGAAAAUAUGGUCAAAGUAUAGAAUCAGAUAUGCUGAGCACAUUUUUCCUGAAAUAAAAAGAACUCAAUUUAGUAAAAAUUUUGAUUCAUAUCUUCUCAAGCUCAACCUGAGACUAUACUUUCCUAAAGUCGGAAUAGGAUCGUUCUCCACUUCACGAGAUUUUAAAAAGAACAACUUAAUUUUGUAAAUACUUCAUUAAUCAUUUUUCCCAAAUAAAGUUUUUAAACAUAUAAAAUCUCUAUAAGAAGACAAAAGUGAAAGAACACAAGUAUUUUUCUUGGCUGUACAUUAAAAAUAAAAAGAAUGCAUUUGAAACAUUAGUUUGCUAAUUUCAGUACUGUUGAAGAAGCCUUGUAAAACAUUAAAUUCGGAUAGCCUAACAUACAAUUAUUUCUUGUUAGCUAAGAAGUCCUUUAAAGUAUGCAUCAACUACCGUCAACAGUCAGAUAAAUAUUACUUCUCAUUUAAUUCUAUCCUCUCAUGUCUACAGCAGUUUAGAAAAUCCACAAAAUUGUUUAGAUCCUGGGGCCAUCUUACAAUUACACCAAGAAUACACAAACUGCAAUGACUUGAAUUGAAUACAUGCUAAGGCCCAAUAAGUAUUUUGAAAAAAACUAUAGUUUCUUUCCACAUUGUGCAAAAAAAGCACGAAGGAACUUAUUACUGGAUGUCUUUGUGAAUGUAAUAGAAAAUCUCAUGAAUUAAGCAUAAAAAACCUUUUGUUCUUGGGGAUAAUUGCAUUUUUAAUGAGUUACUAAUAUUGAAAAGGGGAAGUAAGUAAAAGUAAACCAAAAUGUGCAGAACUUACCUGGUACAAGUGAAGCAAUAUUCCUUUCCCCACUUUCAGUUAACAACUUCCUUUAAGAAAAAUCUGAAAAAUCAAUAUUUUGGGACCAUUAUAUUCCUACUAAAUGAAUACAAAAAUAUUCGGUAAUAUCAAAAGUUCAUAUUUCAAACAAAACCCAAGUAAGCGAUACACUAUUCAGUUUAAUAGAGUCUCGUCAAAAAAUAAUAAAAUAGGAGUAAUAAUUUUGAAAAAGAAGAAGAUAAACCCAAUUAAAGAACAUUGUGUGAGAAAAAUAUUGUGCAUGAGUAAAUCAAACAUAUCUACUGACAUGUAUGUAUAACAUUCAAUAAAAUACUGCCCAAAAGUUCAAGAUGCCCAAAAAAUUAUAUUAAAAACAGGAUCCAAACACAUGCAUAGCCGAGAAAACAGAGGAAGAUGCAAAGAAGGUGUCCAAUUCCCUGCUUCUUAGUAGGAGAAACUGAUAGAUAAGUCACCAAAGAAACCCCAAAUUUUCCAUCUUUCAAUUUUCUUUUUCAAACUUUCAGUUCAUACACUUUGAAAACCUAAAUAGACACAAUUCAAUAAUGUAGCCACAUAAGACUCACCAAUCCUUGUAACAUUAAAAAAAUUAGAAAUGGUAAAAGAUAAAAGAUAAAAGAUAUUCUCCAUCUUCAUAAUAGCCAAAGGUAACACAUAAAUAUUAAAAAAAUGAACCCAGAUGGGACUAAAUCUAAAAACUGAGCAAAAUAUUAACAGGGGGAAGAAGAAAAAGGCAUCAGCAAGAGAAAGAGUCGGUGGAAGGGAAAUUGAGAAAUGUAGGAAAAAG
This 5928-nucleotide long non-coding RNA is filed under the name Nicotiana tabacum (common tobacco). RNAcentral's name for it is "long non-coding RNA (NTAB_LNC000839)". Lineage: Eukaryota; Viridiplantae; Streptophyta; Magnoliopsida; Solanales; Solanaceae. The record is from RNAcentral.